RNAcentral lists this ribosomal RNA (468 nucleotides) under uncultured bacterium. Its description in RNAcentral is "partial 16S ribosomal RNA". It matches the Rfam family "Bacterial small subunit ribosomal RNA", at positions 28 to 507 of the family's 1533-position model. The record is from RNAcentral.
GACGAACGCUGGCGGCGUGCUUAACACAUGCAAGUCGAACGGAAAGGCCCUGCUUUUGUGGGGUGCUCGAGUGGCGAACGGGUGAGUAACACGUGAGUAACCUGCCCUUGACUUUGGGAUAACUUCAGGAAACUGGGGCUAAUACCGGAUAGGAGCUCCUGCUGCAUGGUGGGGGUUGGAAAGUUUCGGCGGUUGGGGAUGGACUCGCGGCUUAUCAGCUUGUUGGUGGGGUAGUGGCUUACCAAGGCUUUGACGGGUAGCCGGCCUGAGAGGGUGACCGGCCACAUUGGGACUGAGAUACGGCCCGGACUCCUACGGAAGGCAGCAGUGGGGAAUAUUGCACAAUGGGCGGAAGCCUGAUGCAGCAACGCCGCGUGCGGGAUGACGGCCUUCGGGUUGUAAACCGCUUUCGCCUGUGACGAAGCGUGAGUGACGGUAAUGGGUAAAGAAGCACCGGCUAACUACGUG